This 1244-nucleotide long non-coding RNA is filed under the name Jatropha curcas. RNAcentral's name for it is "long non-coding RNA (JCUR_LNC000334)". The record is from RNAcentral. Lineage: Eukaryota; Viridiplantae; Streptophyta; Magnoliopsida; Malpighiales; Euphorbiaceae.
ACCAACCAAGCUGAACCAGAAGAAAAGAAAGUUGAUGUAGUUGUUGAAGGGAUGGUAUAUUGCCAAAGUUGUGACCAUUAUGGUUCAUGGUCUUUCAAUGGGGCUAAGCCAAUUCGUUCUGCUAAAAUUAGUGUAAUCUGCAAGAACCAUAGAAAGCAAGUUAGUUAUUAUAAGGCAGUUGAAACUGAUGAGAAUGGUUAUUUCUAUGCACAACUUGAUGGUUUCAAAAUGGGUCAUAGUCUUUUAGACCAUCCUCUCCAAUCUUGCCAUGUAAAGCUGGUUUCAUCUCCUCUUGCAAAUUGCAGCCUCCUUUCUAAUGUUAACUAUGGAAUCUAUGGAGCUCCUCUUCGUUUUGAGAACAAGAUUCUUAGAGGAAGCCAUUAUGAAGCAGUGGUUUAUAGUGCUGGUCCCUUGGCUUUCCGUCCAGCUCAUUGUUCUCCUGAAUCUCAUGUCUAAUUUGAUAACAAGGCACUUCAUUCUGGUUUCUUUUUCUUCUCUUAUUGUUGAAUUUGACUUCUUUUUUGAUAAAUUCGAUUUUGUUGCAAUGUAAUUUCGAUUUCUUCAAAAUAAAGAAAAGUCAUAAAAAGUUGUUUUGAUUUGUUUUCUAAGCUCAAUAAAAAACAGAAAAACAAAAAAUCAAAAACCUGAAACAGAAAUGAUAUUUAACACUUCCUAAACUCGAAAUUUCUUCACCAAAGGAUGCAACUAAGAACAGGAUAACAUAAUCGUUAUUUCUCAUUGCAAUAAGAAAAAUUCCAAACGAUUCUGACAAAACUAGGAAUGUCAUUACCAAGCAUUUCAGACACACCAAAGCAUCUUUCAUUCAAGAUCAAAACUGUUAAAAUUUAUAUUAGCUUAUGUUUCCUGCCAUGUCUAGCACGCAAGCUCUAAAGUCUAAACUACCACAGGAAGUUCCAUAACCGGCUUGUCCAUUCCGGCCUGGCUUUGAUCUGGAUUCUAAAAAACACAUGGAAAGAUGGAAAAGAAAAAACACUACAAAAGAAGAACAGAAAACGCUUACAACACAUCAAUCCUGCAUCUCUACAGAAGAAGCAAGCCUCUCUACGACAGCAGCAGGAGAAGCAGGCAUCCACGGAACACAUAUCAUCACCAGUAACAGCAGAAUCAGAGGCAUCAGCAGAUGCUUGAAUCUCUAAUGCUAUGUUUGGAAAGGGGAGGAAGUAAAAUUAGAGAGGAAGGAAAAUAAAAGAGGUCAAAAAGAGAGGAUUGUUACUUCAUUUUCC